This 211-nucleotide unclassified non-coding RNA is filed under the name plant metagenome. RNAcentral's name for it is "partial contains small subunit ribosomal RNA, internal transcribed spacer 1, and 5.8S ribosomal RNA". The record is from RNAcentral.
UUUCCGUAGGUGAACCUGCGGAAGGAUCAUUCAUAAUAAAGUGUUUUAUGGCACUUUUUAAAAAUCCAUAUCCACCUUGUGUGCAAUGUUAGAUCUCGUCAAUCUUGGCGAGAUUUUUAUACAUCAACUCAUUCUUUAACUAAUUUGUCUGAAGAAUAUUAUGAAUACUUAAUUCAAAAUACGACUUUCAACAACGGAUCUCUUGGCUCUC